AAAAACAUGUCUGUGUGAAUUAGUUAUAAAGUCUAGCCUGCCCACUGAUUGUUUAAAGGGCCGCGGUAAUUUGACCGUGCGAAGGUAGCAUAGUCAGUAGUCUUUUAAUUGAAGGCUUGAAUGAAGGGUUGGACGAGGGGUAAGCUGUCUCCUUUGCAGUGUUUGAAUUUAACUUUUGAGUGAAAAGGCUUAAAUUGUUUAGUGGGACGAUAAGACCCUAUAAAACUUAAUAUAGGUUUAGCUUGAUUUGCAAUUAUGGGUGAAAAGUGGUUUUGUUUGGCUUAUAUUUUGUUGGGGAGAUGUAGAUAUAAUGUGUAACUGUCUGUUGAAUUUAAUAGUUAUGAUUAGUGUGUGAUCCUUCAUUUGUGGAUUAAGAGAAUAAGUUACUUUAGGGAUAACAGCGUAAUUUUCUUUGAGAGUUCUUAUCGACAAGAGUAGUUGCGACCUCGAUGUUGAAUUAAAGUUUCAGCUAGGUGUAGUCGUUUAGCUGGUAGGUCUGUUCGACCUUUAAAAUUUUACAUGAUCUGAG
Molecule: ribosomal RNA, 529 nt
Filed under: Macrobrachium hirsutimanus
Lineage: Eukaryota; Metazoa; Arthropoda; Malacostraca; Decapoda; Palaemonidae
Description: partial large subunit ribosomal RNA
Rfam family: Bacterial large subunit ribosomal RNA
Source: RNAcentral